AACAGGAUUAGAUACCCUGGUAGUCCACACAGUAAACGAUGAAUACUCGCUGUUUGCGAUAUACAGCAAGCGGCCAAGCGAAAGCAUUAAGUAUUCCACCUGGGGAGUACGCCGGCAACGGUGAAACUCAAAGGAAUUGACGGGGGCCCGCACAAGCGGAGGAACAUGUGGUUUAAUUCGAUGAUACGCGAGGAACCUUACCCGGGCUUAAAUUGCAACUGACGGAUUUGGAAACAGAUCUUCCUUCGGGCAGUUGUGAAGGUGCUGCAUGGUUGUCGUCAGCUCGUGCCGUGAGGUGUCGGCUUAAGUGCCAUAACGAGCGCAACCCUUAUCUUUAGUUACUAACAGGUCAUGCUGAGGACUCUAGAGAGACUGCCGUCGUAAGAUGUGAGGAAGGUGGGGAUGACGUCAAAUCAGCACGGCCCUUACGUCCGGGGCUACACACGUGUUACAAUGGGGGGUACAGAAGGCAGCUACACAGCGAUGUGAUGCUAAUCCCAAAAGCCUCUCUCAGUUCGGAUUGGAGUCUGCAACCCGACUCCAUGAAGCUGGAUUCGCUAGUAAUCGCGCAUCAGCCACGGCGCGGUGAAUACGUUCCCGGGCCUUGUACACACCGCCCGUCAAGCCAUGAAAGCCGGGGGUACCUGAAGUACGUAACCGCAAGGAGCGUCCUAGGGUAAAACUGGUAAUUGGGGCUAAGUCGUAACAAGGUAACC
Molecule: ribosomal RNA, 716 nt
Filed under: uncultured bacterium
Lineage: Bacteria
Description: bacterial SSU rRNA
Rfam family: Bacterial small subunit ribosomal RNA
Source: RNAcentral